UACGUAGGCAGCGAGCGUUGUUCGGAAUUACUGGGCGUAAAGAGUGUGUAGGCGGUGUUCCCAGUCUGUUGUGAAAUCUCCCGGCUUAACUGGGAGGGUGCAGCGGAAACUAGAAUGCUAGAGGGUGGGAGAGGUAAGCGGAAUUCCUGGUGUAGCGGUGAAAUGCGUAGAUAUCAGGAGGAACACCUGUGGCGAAAGCGGCGCACUGGACCACAACUGACGCUGAGGCGCGAAAGCGUGGGGAGCAAAAGGG
RNAcentral lists this ribosomal RNA (253 nucleotides) under uncultured bacterium. RNAcentral's name for it is "partial 16S ribosomal RNA". It matches the Rfam family "Bacterial small subunit ribosomal RNA", at positions 524 to 776 of the family's 1533-position model. The record is from RNAcentral.